Molecule: ribosomal RNA, 400 nt
Filed under: uncultured bacterium
Lineage: Bacteria
Description: bacterial SSU rRNA
Rfam family: Bacterial small subunit ribosomal RNA
Source: RNAcentral
UCGAGAAUUUUCCGCAAUGGGCGCAAGCCUGACGGAGCGACGCCGCGUGGUUGAUGAAGUACUUAGGUAUGUAAAAACCUUUUAUGAGGGAAAAAGUUUAUUGAUUGUACCUCAUGAAUAAGGGGUUGCUAAACUCGUGCCAGCAGCAGCGGUAAUACGAGUGCCCCAAGCAUUAUCCGGAAUUAUUGGGCGUAAAGGGUGAGUAGGUGGUUGUAUUAGUCUUAUGUUAAAGCCUUCGGCUCAACCGGAGAAUCGCAUAGGAAACGGUACAACUAGAGUAUGUGAGGGGUGUGUAGAACUCAUGGAGUAGGGGUGAAAUCCGUUGAUAUCAUGGGGAAUACCAAAAGCGUAGGCAGCACACUGGCACAUUACUGACACUGAAUCACGAAAGCGUGGGUAG